This 390-nucleotide ribosomal RNA is filed under the name uncultured bacterium. Its description in RNAcentral is "bacterial SSU rRNA". It matches the Rfam family "Bacterial small subunit ribosomal RNA", at positions 30 to 414 of the family's 1533-position model. The record is from RNAcentral.
AGUGAACGCUGGCGGCAGGCCUAAUACAUGCAAGUCGAACGGCAGCACAGCAGAGCUUGCUCUGUGGGUGGCGAGUGGCGGACGGGUGAGGAAUACAUGGGAAUCUGCCCAGUCGUGGGGGAUAACGUAGGGAAACUUACGCUAAUACCGCAUGCGCCCUUCGGGGGAAAGCCGGGGACCUUCGGGCCUGGCGCGAUUGGAUGAGCCCAUGUCGGAUUAGCUAGUUGGCGGGGUAAUGGCCCACCAAGGCGACGAUCCGUAGCUGGUCUGAGAGGAUGAUCAGCCACACUGGAACUGAGACACGGUCCAGACUCCUACGGGAGGCAGCAGUAGGGAAUAUUGGACAAUGGGCGCAAGCCUGAUCCAGCCAUGCCGCGUGAGUGAAGAAGG